Pelobates cultripes (western spadefoot toad) is the source of this 803-nucleotide non-coding RNA. NCBI's taxonomy places the organism in Eukaryota, Metazoa, Chordata, Amphibia, Anura, Pelobatidae. The record is from the annotation of a GenBank genome assembly.
CCCACUUACAAGAAUUAAAACAUACCCAAAUAGCUAAAUAAAUAUUACAUCGAUUAUCACAGUAUCAAUAUCCAUAUCAUUUUCCAGAUAAUCACUAUUCAGGAGUCCAAAAAUUAUUUACAUUUAUACAAACAGAAGCUCGGGAUAACCUUUCAAGAGCAGGUGGAGGGACUAAUGGCCACCUGAGUAGUAUUGAUAAACAAUCAGAACAGCCAGUGGGUCCACAUGUGUUUCCAAUGGGAUUACAAUAUUGACCAGUUUCCCAUAAAGCAUGCAAGGCCACUGCUGAGCACCUAUAGGUUUUUGUAGUGUUACUCAGGAUUCUGACACACAACUACAGGGUUUGCUAUAGUAUUCAAGUGUGGACUGUUCAGGGAAAAUUUCAAGCUGGGGAAAACAAAAGAAAAACAACAACAAAAAAACAUUUCUUUUCAGUGAUUUUUUUCUCCUGUAAUGUAAAAUUCACAUUGAAUUUCUAAUAAGUCAUACUUAUUAAUAGCAAUAGCAGUUCUCAUCUGUAUCCUGUUUUGCUUAUUAACAAUUCUAAAAGCAUGGUAUUUUAAUGGUCUGAGGGUGCAUACAAUACUUUGAGACAUAACACUGAGACAUUAAGCUCUAGGAAAUGGUGAUCGCUUAAAUGAGAGGAGUUGAAUGAUUGAUGGGUUUGGGGCAUUUAGCAGGCUGCUAUAUUCUAAAAAGGAUAGAAAAUAUCAAAGAAUGGAUGACUUAGGCUAUAGUUACUCUUAUUUAUAUUUUAGAAUGGAUGUUUCCAACCCAAUUCACAAAAACCCUAAAUAAUUCAG